UGGGGAAUAUUGGACAAUGGGCGCAAGCCUGAUCCAGCAAUGCCGCGUGUGUGAAGAAGGCCUUCGGGUUGUAAAGCACUUUUAUCAGGAGCGAAACGCUGUCGGCUAAUACCCGGCGGAACUGACGGUACCUGAGGAAUAAGCACCGGCUAACUUCGUGCCAGCAGCCGCGGUAAUACGAAGGGUGCAAGCGUUAAUCGGAAUUACUGGGCGUAAAGCGUGCGUAGGCGGUUUCUUAAGUCUGCUGUGAAAUCCCCGGGCUCAACCUGGGAAUGGCAGUGGAUACUGGGAGGCUAGAGUGUGUCAGAGGGUGGUGGAAUUCCCGGUGUAGCGGUGAAAUGCGUAGAGAUCGGGAGGAACAUCAGUGGCGAAGGCGGCCACCUGGGACAACACUGACGCUGAGGCACGAAAGCGUGGGGAGCAAACAGGAUUAGAUACCCUGGUAGUCCACGCCCUAAACGAUGCGAACUGGAUGUUGGUCUCAACUCGGAGAUCAGUGUCGAAGCUAACGCGUUAAGUUCGCCGCCUGGGGAGUACGGUCGCAAGACUGAAACUCAAAGAAUUGACGGGGUCAUAGCUGUUUCCU
RNAcentral lists this ribosomal RNA (586 nucleotides) under uncultured bacterium. RNAcentral describes it as "partial 16S ribosomal RNA". It matches the Rfam family "Bacterial small subunit ribosomal RNA", at positions 355 to 1375 of the family's 1533-position model. The record is from RNAcentral.